UACGUAGGGGGCGAGCGUUGUCCGGAAUUAUUGGGCGUAAAGCGCGCGCAGGCGGUCUCUUAAGUCUGAUGUGAAAGCCCCCGGCUCAACCGGGGAGGGUCAUUGGAAACUGGGAGACUUGAGUGCAGAAGAGAAGAGUGGAAUUCCACGUGUAGCGGUGAAAUGCGUAGAGAUGUGGAGGAACACCAGUGGCGAAGGCGACUCUUUGGUCUGUAACUGACGCUGAGGCGCGAAAGCGUGGGGAGCAAACAGG
Molecule: ribosomal RNA, 253 nt
Filed under: uncultured bacterium
Lineage: Bacteria
Description: partial 16S ribosomal RNA
Rfam family: Bacterial small subunit ribosomal RNA
Source: RNAcentral